Long non-coding RNA from Ornithodoros turicata, 386 nucleotides. RefSeq lists it as uncharacterized. The transcript is spliced from 3 exons. NCBI's taxonomy places the organism in Eukaryota, Metazoa, Arthropoda, Arachnida, Ixodida, Argasidae. The record is from RefSeq and is a predicted model, not a curated record.
GCCAGUCAUGUUCUAACGUCGGGCCAACGUUAACUGCCAACUACGUCGGCGAGGACCUGGCCAAUGACGUUGGGCCAACAGCCCGUGCCGACGGGACGCCACCGUAGCUUGCCGUUAGUCGGUUACCGAACUCACCUUCACGUAGUACCAAGGCAGAGCGAGGUCUUGGCAAGCCAUCGGCCAGGGCAGAUCUGUAGCAAGAAACGAGCUCGUUGGCCAAGCACGGCUCGGUUGGCCAGCCAAGCUCUUGCCAAGCUUGGUUCAAUCUCGGCAGCCUACCGUGAUGAUGCGCCUGCACACACGCUACGCACAUGACACCAGACUUGAAAGCGCAAAAACACGCUGCUGACAUGCCCCGGCGAUCGAAAGGCUAUCUUGAUCGUUGC